This 74-nucleotide transfer RNA is filed under the name Solirubrobacterales bacterium. RNAcentral describes it as "tRNA-Lys". It matches the Rfam family "tRNA". From Rfam's summary of the family: Transfer RNA (tRNA) molecules are approximately 80 nucleotides in length. Their secondary structure includes four short double-helical elements and three loops (D, anti-codon, and T loops). The record is from RNAcentral. Lineage: Bacteria; Bacillati; Actinomycetota; Thermoleophilia; Solirubrobacterales.
GCCGCCGUAGCUCAGUCGGUUAGAGCAGCUGACUUUUAAUCAGACGGUCGUGAGUUCGAAUCUCACCGGCGGCA